UGUUCAUUUGGGUGCUGCAGC
RNAcentral lists this non-coding RNA (21 nucleotides) under Arabidopsis thaliana (thale cress). The record is from RNAcentral. Lineage: Eukaryota; Viridiplantae; Streptophyta; Magnoliopsida; Brassicales; Brassicaceae.